Molecule: long non-coding RNA, 7486 nt
Filed under: Vitis vinifera (wine grape)
Lineage: Eukaryota; Viridiplantae; Streptophyta; Magnoliopsida; Vitales; Vitaceae
Description: long non-coding RNA (VVIN_LNC002094)
Rfam family: Small nucleolar RNA Z102/R77 (bases 557-643)
Source: RNAcentral
GAGCGUCUCGGACGGAUCUGGCUGAACUCUCUCGCUUUCUUCGCAAGGCGAAAAUGCUAGGCAGCCGUCAACAUUGUCGACUCGCCCUUGGUUACUAAUUUCGAUUAUUUUCUUCUGAUUUGAUUUGAUUUCUUGGUGAUGUUUUUGUGUUUUUGUUUUCGGAAACCUUUGGUUAGAUUAAUUUCUUUUUGUUUGAUUUCAUUUUUUGGUUAGCUUUUUGUGUUUUGUUUUCGAAAACCUUUUUGUUUUUUUAUGUAGAAGGAGAAUGAAAGGAUGAUUAUAUGUUUCCCUAUUGGUUUGAUCGCCGAGAUGAUGGCGAAUCUUUUGUAUUAGCUCUAUCUGAUUAUUCUCUUUAUUUUUUCGUUCUUGAUUUUUUUUUUUUCUGAAAAAUGGGAAUGCAAUUAGAUUUAAAAGACAGUAUUUGAGGGUGGAUCAUGAAUGCCAUUCGUCAGAUUGGCCAGAUGUAAUAGCUUUUUCGCAAUAGUAAUCCUCUGGUAAUACAGAAGAUUAUUGUUAUUAUUUUGUUUUUUAGUUUUAAUUUUUUUUAAGGAGGAGAGAAUGAUAUGAUGAAUGAAUUUGUUUCCCUAUUGGUUUGAUCGCCGGGAUGAUGGCGACAAAUAGUAUUAGCUCUAUCUGAUCAUUCUGUUCCUCCCUCUUGCGAUUUUUCAAUGUCUUAAAUGUUAAUAAAUCUUCGUUUCAAAAACCUAAUCGAGCUUUUCGGUCCUCUUUCGUUUUCAUCAAUUAUUUUUAUUUUUAUUUUUUGAUCACAUCCAUCCAUUUUUGUAUGGUUUUUUUUUAUGACAUCCAUAUGUAACAAGCCAAAUUUCAUCCCUUAUCCGAGUUACAACUAUUAAUCGAAUGACGAACGGCAUGUUGCAAUUAAUUAUUUUCAAAUUAUAAUUAAUACUAUACAAAAUUGUUUAAAGCAAGAAUAAGUAUGAUAUUUUUCAUCCUAAAAUAUCUUUGAAUUAGUAUUAAGUACACUGAUUCUCAAUAUAUAUAUAUAUUUCGAAGAAUACUGUAUGCAUUAUUAUUUGUUUCUUUAUUCUCAAAGUUUCAUUAAAAGUUUUUAUCUUUUCUUAUCAAUUUUGUGUACAAUUAUUUGUAUGCUAUCAAUAUUUUCCUAAAGUUCACAGCUAUUAAAGAUAGCCUUCAAGCAGACCCGGCCUAUUUAUUAAUCAUUUAGAUUAUUAUUAAAAAUGAGAAUUGGAAUAAAAAAAUUUAUUAUCAAAAAUUAAAUCUUCUUCUUCCUUUUAGUAGUAUGGUAAUUCCCGAUAUUUUAAUUCUACUCUAUUUUUAUUACCAUUUUCGCUCGCAGUUGUUUAAAAUGCAAAAUAGGAAUUUAAAUUGACUGGAGAAGUUGUAGGCAAGCGAGGGGAUUAAUGGCAUGUGCUAGAUGGUCCCAUUACUCUUUGUAUGGAUUUUUUUUAUUCAGAUGGAGGGUAUGUCUUCUUCACUAUGUUCAGUACUUCACUCCUUCAUUUGCUUCCAUACAUGUGAACUCAAAGGGUAUGUGAAAUACCCACUAUUAUUGCAAUGCCCAUACAUGCGAACAAAGGGUAUGUGUUAUACCCACUGUUAUUUGGAUUCAAAGCCCGUCAAUUCAUUGACUGCAACUUGAGCAAUAAUCUUCAAGUUCUUAUAAAGCUUAUAACCACCUAAAAUGUAAUUUGAUUCAAAAACUUGAACAAGCUCUAGCCUCAAGUGAUGCUUAUAGCCACCCAAUAAUGCCUUCCAUAUAACAGAUUAUGGUUUAAUUCUCAUGCUCCUUGUUAAUAACAAUGCAUCUUCAAGCAGACCAGCCUCGUCCAAAAGAUCAAUCAUGCUACCAUAGUGUUAAACCUGGAAAACGAGUCUUGCGUGAGUGUAGGCGUUUGGAAUAAUGGCCGGUGCUUCUUUUACAUAAUCAUGAAUUACAAGCCCAAGAGGUUGUUUCCUUAAAAAUAACCUUUAAGGGAUUUGCCAAAUGCCAUGGACUUAGUGAGUUCAAACCAUUUAAUGUUAUUAAGUUAAAAAGUUAGGAAGGCACAAGAAUGCUUUACAACUUUAGCAACGCUCUCAAAUGCUUGAUGUAUUUGCUCAAAUGAAAUCAUACCCUAUUUAUAAGCCAUAUGAAAUCAUACCCUAUUUACAAGCAUGAGUGAGUUUGUGAAAAAUUGAUUUUAAAAAAAGUUGGAGUUCAUGAAAUAAAAUCUUAAUAGUGACUCAUUUUGAAAGGAAAAACAUAUUUAUGAAAAAUUGAUUUUAGGUUCGAGGGUAAGUUACAUAUUAGGAAGGUAGUACUAUGGUAACAUUUCUUUAAACCUUAAAAAGGUUUCUACUAAUUAACUAGAAGGAAUUAAGACAAUUAGUUAAUAAAUUUAUGUAUAAGAGAUAUAAGUAACUCUUUAGAAAUCUCUACCCUUUCCCUUAUAUUCCAUCUUUGUGCAAAGAUUUGCAAAGGUCUUAAACUUCUAAAAUCUUCUACACUCCUCCGAUGGUGGAGGCAUAGAUGCCUCAAGGUGCUUCCAAAAGCUUCUUACCCCUUAUAUAAGCUCAAGGAAGGGUUGUGACACUAAGCUUUCACAAUUGGGAUGAGGUCCUACACUUAGUAUACAUGUUAGUUAGUGCAAACCCAUAUAGAGGUAUUUUCUUUCUUAAGCCAACAUAGAGAUGUAUUUCCUUUCAUAAGUCAAGUACUCAACCGGUACAAAUUGAAAUCACAAUUGUCAUGGUUACCUCGUCAGGGUUGAUCCCAUUAGUUUACCUCUUGGUAAAAAUUGCUAAAGCUUCUCUAUAUUGCUUGUUCUAAGAAUAGUAAGCGAUCAUGGUCGUCGAUGAAAUCAUAUCCUAUUAGAACUCAUAUUCCCAAUCUUAUCAUAAAUUGAAAUUAUAAUGAUUCAUUCAAAAACAACUUUCACAAAUUUCUCACCAAUUUUCUCAUCAAUUACCUCUUAACAUUUCCAUGCAAAUCCCUAUUCGCUUCACAAAUUUUACUAGCAUUCCCAUGCAAAUCAACCAAAGCAUUCUGAAUAAAUACGUGAGGAUAAAAUCCAUCUUUCUAAAUAUAACCAUGAAUAGCUUUUCUAAGCCCAGUGCAGAUACCAAACUGCAAGCCUUAUCUAAGGACGGAAAUGUAAAACUAGUGGGAAGACUUUGAGCUCCUAAUAUAUCAAAGGACUGAUCAUUGGAUUGUACACAAAAACAUUGGGCUCUUCGAGCAUGGAACAUUUCUUGAUUUUGUAGUUAAAGUUUUGCAUAUGUUUCAAAAAAAAAAAAUCUCACCCAUUUUCUAGAACAAACGGAGUUUAAAGUUUUCAAAAUUUUGACUAGAAAAGAGCCUCUGAUCAUAAAAUGUAUGAAAGUCUUGCAUUAUAAUUCUAUACACAAAAAGAAAAUUCAAAUUUAAAAUGAUCUAUUAAAAAAAACAAAGACAACAAAAAGCUCCAAAAAAAAAAGAAAAAGAAAAAGGCCAAAAGAAGAAACAACUUCAAAAUCCAGUAGAGUUCGAAAAUGCAAGAUUGAGGAUAGUUCAACAUACUGAAGUGAUUAGGAUUGAAAACUACCGAUACUUCUCCUCACAAACAUAGCAGAAAAGAGUCAAAUGUAGAUUUAUGACUUUAACUGGCUUGUGUCUUUUCAAAGUUGGUAAUUGUGGGAGGGUGAGGGCCAGUUGGCCAGAGCCUCCCCUCCAAACAAGCUGGAUGAUGAGUAUUUUACCUCUACUUUCUGAGGGAAAACUUGGGUUGCUCACCCACAUGGAGUAUGGAGCAUGAUGCCAGAGAAAGCCAAAGAAAUAAUUAUAGGUGAGCUGUCAAUUUGGAAAAUUCUAGAACCCAAUUUUGAAGAAUAUAAAAAUGACUUUGAUUAAAACUCUUGAGAAAUUUGCAUUUUAAACAGACAGACAACACAUGAUAUGUAAUGCUACUUGUAGAAACACUUUUUUUUUCUUUUUUUUCUCUUAUACUGCUAAUUUACUACUCAGAGAAACACUGGAACAAAAAAAUUCAAAAAACCCAUCAUUUUCUUUUCUUUAAGAGUGAAAACUCAAAGCUCCAAGUCCUAUCAUAGCACAGUGAGACCACUACUCAGUGUGUGUGUAUAUAUAUAUUUUCCCAAAAGCUUAUUCAAACCCACUUAAUAUGUAGCAAGAUUACCUCCUUAUUUCCCACUUCCAUCAAUUGCAUCUAACAUAUCAUCAUGUGUUUAUUAUUUAUCUUCCAACUUACCUUUACCGUUUACCACAUCUACCAAAUUAUCUCAACCUAAGAGUGCAAAGUUAUCUUUAGCCACCAAGGGAAUGGCGGGAUAUAGGUGUCUAAGCUUUGUGAUCAUCAUAAAACACCAAAGAAAAUUAGCAAGACUAGCUAGAUAGAUUAUAAGCCACCAGAGAAUCAAUUUUUUAAAAAUAAAAUAAUUUUGGUGAUGAUCAUAUAGAAAACCUUAAAUAUUGUCCUGGGCUGCUUUGGGUGUAGUCGGAAAGAUAGAUCCCACAAAAGGUUCCCCACUUUUGUGCUUACUAAACAUGGUUAGAUUGAAAUUGAACUCUAGUUUCUUUAUAAAUAAAUUGUAUCCAGGUUGCUGCAAACCAUAUCAACAUUGGUUACCAAAAUAGUUUCAAUAUCAGCAACCUACAAACAUUAAUUAUCAAUGACUCUGUUUUUCUUUUAUUUGGGUAGCAAAGACAGAAAAUUCUACAAUGCAGCUCUUGAUCGUUGCUUACAAUGAAUAUUGUAAGUAGAAGCAUGGAAUUAAAUAAUUAAUUCAUGGGUUCCUUCAAACACUUCUUAUUGAAGCCUAGAAUUAGAGGGGAACAAACAAGAUGUCUAAGAAGAACUUGUCAGAAGACUAGUUUCACACUGGACAUGAGCCUAGGUGUCUUGACCCAUGGAAGACAUGAUUGAGGCCUACCCAUGAGCCCAACAUUAAUUGGUUGCAGCAGACAGUACUAGUGUUAGAACCAUGGUAUUAAUUGGCCAUAACCGAUUACAACACCUCUAAGACACUCAAAAUUAUGAACACAGACCACCUUUGAACUAGAUGUGAUAUAUAUCCACAUCAAAUUAGCCAAAAAGUUUAUAGAUUUGUAUUUUCUUUUGACACACUUUGAAAUGACAUUAUUUUUAACACGACACUCCAUUUUGACCUUUGUAACUGGAUAUCCUAAACUAUCUGGCAUUCCACUUGCACUCUAGGAUGGUAGGCUGUGCACUGGUUUGGUGGACCUCUGUUUUUAUUGCAGUUCUAGAUUUGGAGCCUACAGCCUGAUUCCAAUCCGGCCAAGCCCAUAUCUUUUGGACCUGGGGCCUCCCCUAACCCUUGACUGCCCAACAACUCAGAUUCAAACCCAAGCCCACCAGAGAAACUUUUAAAACCUGUGUCUUCCAAACACGUCAUUCCUUUGUCAGUUGUUCCCUUCUUAAUACCGCUUAUAAAAUCCCCCAUUUUGUAGCUUUCUCAACUGUUGUAGCCUCACCUGUCUUCUCCUUGGUGUUUGAACACGACAUGUCCAUAUCUAUAGAAUGUAGAGGUUGCACCUUCUUUCCCACCCUUGUGCUGGUGCGUGAGCCACCCAUCAUAUUAGCCCUAACAUCCAUCUCACCAUGCUCACUGCUACAUCUUCUUGGCACAACUAGCCAAAAACAGGGUGUCACUUCCCACCACAACUGAAAGGAGAAGUUGGAACUACCUACUACAACUUGCAGCGCACCAUGCAUAUUGCUUCUAGAACUAAACUGAUAUUUGAGAGAAGAAAAAAAACAGAAAUUCAUGCUAUGAUGGAAAACUAGCAUGCUGCCAGCCCCACCCACCCAAAUAUGAUCAAACUACAACACAAAGCAAGCCAUUCCUCUUCCAACUGGUGCUGCAAACCACUAUUCCCUCUUUUCCCUUCACCACCCAAACGAAAAAAUCCAAUGGCAAUAGGAUUAAAUGGUACAACAAGUAGUCCUUCAAAGUGGAGAAAAAAAAAACAGAGUGGAAUACAACAAUUGCCUGUAACAUCCUAUCAAGUCAAUGAAAAAAAAUAACAAAAAUGCAUUGUAUUUAUUUGGGAUACCAUCUCCCUGAUUUGUCAUCCCAAAAUAAUUUCCCUGUCUAUGAAAGAAUAAUAUUAGAUAUUUGGAACAAUGAAAACCUUUCCAUUUGUCUUCAUCUGUACUAAUCUAUUCAAGUAUGAGGAAAACAACAUUAGUUGAGAGAGAGAUUUACCUGUAACUCUAUGAUGCUCUAUAGUAGAUUUUGACAAUGGUGCUCUCCCAUGGAAGUUAAGCAUGACCAUUCCAAUGGAUUAAGGCAUUUUAGUGGUGGACUUUAGUGAGAGCUCUAGGGUUUCGGGGUUUGUUGAGUUGGGAAAUGGUGGAAGAAAUGUUCGGCGGGUACUCGUAUAAAGGGAAAAACUUUUAGUUAAUAUAUAUUCGGAACAUAUAUAUAUAUAUAUAUACUAUUAUUUAAUGUCACCUGAUAUAAACGCCAAUGUAAAAUAUCACAACUAUGACACUGCUAUAAAGCGUCAUGGCAUAACUAGUUAUUCUUAUAAAGGCCACAUCAAGCAAUGAUACUUUAAAUAAGCGUCAUGAAAUAAAAAAACUACUGUAAAAAAUAACCCCUUUGAAAAGCGCCAUUGUAUAUCCCAAUAUAACGAUACUUUAUGAAAGCGCCAAGGAUUAAAGCGUCGGAAUUUUCUAUUUUUGUAGUAGUGAAUUUAGUUCAAGGUUUAAAUUAAAAGUGUGAAAUCAAGGUUUGGUUAAUCUCGAUUUUGAUAAUAACAAAAUAAAGUUUGGAACUAAUGAUUAUAUUUCAAGUGUGAUUAGACAAGAAGAUUUUCAAAGUGGCAAUCACAAAGACAAAAUCAAGCUAAAGAGAAAUCAAUAAGAAGAAGAAUAGCUCAAAGAGAAGUGUUUUUCAAAACCUAAGUAGUAUAGGAUUUCUUUGUAAGAUUGAUGGCGCACUAGGGUUUUCACUAGGUUUUUCAUGUAUUACAUUAUUUAUUUAUGCACUAAAAUAUUCAAGAGUUAUUUUGUUUUAAAUAUUUUAAAAUUGGAUAAUUUCAUGUUUUUAACUAAAACUUUGUGUUAAAUGCUUUCCAAUAUUGUUUAAAAGGUUUUAAGUUGAAAUUGAUGGUUGUUGAGCAAAAAAUGGCUCAACUAGUUGAACUAGAUGAGGAAUCGGUUGAACCGGAUGAGGAACCGGUCGACCUGUUCAACUUAAUCGGUCGACCUGUUCAACUUAAUCGGUCAACCUGUUUAGCUCAACUGGUCAAGGGGUGCAAAAACCUUCUCUCUCUUUCAAAAUGUUUGUUCAACCGAUUGAGGUUGGACCUCAACCGAUCAAAAGAUAAAAUUUUAAAAUAAAAUCCAAAUAGGUAAAUCUUUAGUAACAAUUGUUGGGUGUUAUUUGGUAGAAAUUUUUUUGGAUACUUAUUCGGUACAUAUUGAUCUUAUAAUCGGUAAUACAAAUAUAUAAAACCAAAAUACAAGAAAACAAGAUCAAUUACACAUGAAUAAGA